CUAAGUACAAGCCUCACUAAGGUGAAACCGCGAAUGGCUCAUUAAAUCACACCUAAUCUACUGGAUAGUAAAAAGUUACUUGGAUAACUGCGGUAAUUCUGGAGCUAAUACAUGCACAAAGCCGCGACUCACGAAGCGGCGCUUUUAUUAGAUCAAAACCAAACGGCUUCGGCUGUACUCAUGGUGACUCUGAAUAACUUUGGGCUGAUCGCAUAGCCUUGAGCUGGCGACAUAUCCUUCGAUGUGCCCUAUCAACUUUCGACUGUGGCAUAGACGCCCACAGUUUUGACGGGUAACGGGGAAUCAGGGUUCGAUUCCGGAGAGGGAGCCUUAAAAACGGCUACCACAUCUAAGGAAGGCAGCAGGCACGCAAAUUACCCAAUGACCGAAGGUCGAGGUAGUGACGAAAAAUAACGAUAGAGGACUCCCGAGGCCCUCUAAUUGGAAUGAGUACACUUUAAAACCGUCCCCGAGGAUCUAUUGGAGGGCAAGUCUGGUGCCAGCAGCCGCGGUAAUUCCAGCUCCAAUAGCGUAUAUUAAAGUUGUUGUGGUUAAAAAGCUCGUAGUUGGAUCUCAACAGCCUUGAAGCGGUUAACUUUGUAGUUUUACUGCUUUAUAGGCUGUGCUUUUGCUGGAGGUUUAGGGGUGCUCUUGAUCGAGUGUCUCUGGAUGCCAGCAGGUUUACUUUGAAAAAAUUAUUUGCUCAAAGCAGGCUAAAAUGCUGAAUAUUCGUGCAUGGAAUAAUAGAAUAGGAUGUCGAUCCUAUUUUGUUGGUUUUCGGGACUCGACAUAAUGAUAAAUAGGGACAGUCGGGGCAUUUGUAUUCAAACGACAGAGGUGAAAUUCUUGGACCGUUUGAAGACAAACUACUGCGAAAGCAUUUGCCAAGAAUGUUUUCAUUAACGAAAGUUAGAGGUUCGAAGGCGAUUAGAUACCGCCCUAGCUAACCAUAAACGAUGCCAGCUAGCGAUCUGCCUGCGUUUUUACUGUAGACUGGGCAGGAAGCUUCCGGGAAACCAAAGCAUUUGUUGGUUCCAGGGGAAGUAUGGUUGCAAAGCUGAAACUUAAAGGUUGACGGAAGGGCACCACCAGGAGUGGAGCCUGUGGCUUAAUUUGACUCAACACGGGAAAUCUCACCAGGCCCGGACACUGGAAGGAUUGACAGAUUGAUAGCUCUUUCUUGAUUCGGUGGGUGGUGGUGCAUGGCCGUUCUUAGUUGGUGGAGUGAUUUGUCUGGUUAAUUCCGAUAACGAACGAGACUCUGUCCUGCUAAAUAGUUUCUACUUCUCUUUUGAGUAGAAAUUUCUUCUUAGAGGGACUGGUGACUCUUAGUACGAGAUUGAGCAAUAACAGGUCUGUGAUGCCCUUAGAUGUUCUGGGCCGCACACGCGCUACACUGAAUAGAUCAGCGUGUCACCCUUCCCGAAAGGGACGGGUAAACGCUUGAACCCUAUUCGUGGUAGGGAUCGGGGCUUGUUGUUCCCCGUGAACCAGGAAUUCCCAGUAGGCGCAAGUCAUAAGCUUGCGUCGAUUACGUCCCUGCCCUUUGUACACACCGCCCGUCGCUACUACCGAUUGAACAUUUUAGUGAGGUCCUCGGACUGUGAGCCAGGCGGGUCGCCCUGCCUGGUCUACGGGAAGACGACCAAA
Molecule: ribosomal RNA, 1650 nt
Filed under: Paracalanus parvus
Lineage: Eukaryota; Metazoa; Arthropoda; Copepoda; Calanoida; Paracalanidae
Description: SSU rRNA
Rfam family: Eukaryotic small subunit ribosomal RNA
Source: RNAcentral